This is a long non-coding RNA of Gasterosteus aculeatus aculeatus (three-spined stickleback), 1266 nucleotides long. The record is from Ensembl. NCBI's taxonomy places the organism in Eukaryota, Metazoa, Chordata, Actinopteri, Perciformes, Gasterosteidae.
CCUCAGACCUGCAGUCACCAGACCUCCUGCUCACCUGUAUCCACUUAUCGCCCUUUGUUCUUCUGUUGUUUUUUAUUUCCGUGCUUGCUGUUCCCAGCCUGCUCUUCAGGACUCUUCUAACGCGGCUACCAGUGGUGAUGAAUCCACGCUAAUAAAAACGCUGCGACACAAACGUCGAUGGCACAUUCUCGCAGCGAGCACUGUGUUGCUCUGCGCCAGCACCCCUUGGUGCCCCUCUGCAGUUUGCCUCUUCCCAUGCUGGCAUUUUUAAGCACUACGCAGAUCAGUGAGGACAGAGACCUCCCCGACACACUGAACCAAGCCCAAGGCGGAGCAGACACUCCCCUAGCACCACCAGCAAAGACUACCGCCCAGUCGCCGUGACCCAAGUGCUUCCAGAGGAUGAUGCUAUCACACGUCAAGAACAGACUCCCAGCUGACGUGGGCAGCCACCACUUUGCGUACCGAGCAAACCGAUCUGCAGAGGACGCGGCCUCCAUCACACUUCACACAGCGCUGUCUCACAUGGAGCACCCGAACACGUAUGUAAGGAUGCGCUUCAUUGAAGCUCUGCCCUCAAUACCAUCACCCCCCCCUUGAAGUGAUGCAUAAACUCAAAACACCUUGGACUAUCUACAUCGCUCUGUCCAUGGAGACUGGACAGACCACAGAAUGUGAGUAUAGGGAACCUGACAUUAACCAUCCUGAACACUGGAGCGCUGCAGACCUGUUUCUCCAACACGAUAGAAACGCACUGCAGAGAGGAGGGCCAACGUCUGGCUGAUCACAUCACACCUGGUGAAGAAAGCCCAGCAGAGGCUCUUCUUCCUGAGGAAGCUAAAACAAGCAGGCCGUCCCCCUGAAGUUCUAGUUAACUUCUACAGAAGUGUGAUAGAAAGUCCGUGAUUUACUGUGUGAAGCUGCACAGCAGAGAACAGCACACCGUGAAUGUGUGACACUGUGUGUGCCGGCCGCCUUCAGAAGAAGAUUCAGGACUAUUAAAACCCGGACUAACAGGCUGAGGAACUGCUUUUUCCCCACAGCCGCUUCCUCCAUCAUCACCACCACGAUUGAACCUUUUGAUGCUUAUGAUCAAACCAGCUUGACCUUUUUAACAGAAGGAUCUGAGCACUGUGAGGUGAUGUUCUGACAUUUUGAAAUCCGAUUAGUCUGGAAAUGUGUUCUCAAUGAUAGGACACAUUUUUCAAACGACUUUUGAAAUACAGUUUGUAUAAGGUCAUUAAAAAAAUAAAAAUAAUAAUUGCU